This 381-nucleotide ribosomal RNA is filed under the name Lensia subtiloides. RNAcentral's name for it is "partial 16S ribosomal RNA". It matches the Rfam family "Bacterial large subunit ribosomal RNA", at positions 1935 to 2481 of the family's 2925-position model. Lineage: Eukaryota; Metazoa; Cnidaria; Hydrozoa; Siphonophorae; Diphyidae. The record is from RNAcentral.
CUUAAUCCUAAAGGGCGUGAAAUAAGCAUAAUCGGAUACCGUUUAAUUGACGGGGAGUUGAAUGGAUUUACGAGUGACAAUCUGUCUUUUUCUAAGAAUAAAUGAAUUAGAAGUAUAAGUGAAGAUGCUUAUUAAAACAAAAAGACGAAAAGACCCCGUGAAGCUUAACUAUAAGUCAACUAGAGAAAAGAAAUUUCUUCUUAGUUGAAAGGGUAGUUUUGGUGGGGUGCCAGUACGUUAAAAAGAACAUGAAGUUAAUUUAGUAAGACUAAUAACUAGUGUAAUAAACAAAUUUACGCAGAGGAGAAAACCGAUAAAGUGACCCGACUAAGGUUUAAAAUUAAGUCGACAAAGAAUAAUAGCUACUCCGGGGAUAACAGG